RNAcentral lists this ribosomal RNA (2934 nucleotides) under Pectobacterium odoriferum. RNAcentral's name for it is "bacterial LSU rRNA". It matches the Rfam family "Bacterial large subunit ribosomal RNA". The record is from RNAcentral. Lineage: Bacteria; Pseudomonadati; Pseudomonadota; Gammaproteobacteria; Enterobacterales; Pectobacteriaceae.
GGGUUGUGAGGUUAAGCGACUAAGCGUACACGGUGGAUGCCUAGGCAGUCAGAGGCGAUGAAGGGCGUGCUAAUCUGCGAUAAGCGUCGGUAAGCUGAUAUGAAGCGUUAUACCCGACGAUACCCGAAUGGGGAAACCCAGUGUGUUUCGACACACUAUCAUGACAUGAAUACAUAGUGUCAUGAGGCGAACCGGGGGAACUGAAACAUCUCAGUACCCCGAGGAAAAGAAAUCAACCGAGAUUCCCCCAGUAGCGGCGAGCGAACGGGGAGGAGCCCAGAACCUGAAUCAGUUUGUGUGUUAGUGGAAGCGUCUGGAAAGUCGCACAGUAAAGGGUGAUAGUCCCGUACACAAAAAUGCACAAGCUGUGAGUUCGAUGAGUAGGGCGGGACACGUGACAUCCUGUCUGAAUAUGGGGGGACCAUCCUCCAAGGCUAAAUACUCCUGACUGACCGAUAGUGAACCAGUACCGUGAGGGAAAGGCGAAAAGAACCCCGGCGAGGGGAGUGAAAUAGAACCUGAAACCGUGUACGUACAAGCAGUGGGAGCCUACUUGUUAGGUGACUGCGUACCUUUUGUAUAAUGGGUCAGCGACUUAUAUUCUGUAGCAAGGUUAACCGUAUAGGGGAGCCGCAGGGAAACCGAGUCUUAACUGGGCGUUAAGUUGCAGGGUAUAGACCCGAAACCCGGUGAUCUAGCCAUGGGCAGGUUGAAGGUUGGGUAACACUAACUGGAGGACCGAACCGACUAAUGUUGAAAAAUUAGCGGAUGACUUGUGGCUGGGGGUGAAAGGCCAAUCAAACCGGGAGAUAGCUGGUUCUCCCCGAAAGCUAUUUAGGUAGCGCCUCGUGAACUCAUCUUCGGGGGUAGAGCACUGUUUCGGCUAGGGGGUCAUCCCGACUUACCAACCCGAUGCAAACUACGAAUACCGAAGAAUGUUAUCACGGGAGACACACGGCGGGUGCUAACGUUCGUCGUGAAGAGGGAAACAACCCAGACCGCCAGCUAAGGUCCCAAAGUCAUGGUUAAGUGGGAAACGAUGUGGGAAGGCACAGACAGCCAGGAUGUUGGCUUAGAAGCAGCCAUCAUUUAAAGAAAGCGUAAUAGCUCACUGGUCGAGUCGGCCUGCGCGGAAGAUGUAACGGGGCUAAACCAUGCACCGAAGCUGCGGCAGCGACACUUAGGUGUUGUUGGGUAGGGGAGCGUUCUGUAAGCCGUCGAAGGUGGCCUGUGAGGGCUGCUGGAGGUAUCAGAAGUGCGAAUGCUGACAUAAGUAACGAUAAUGCGGGUGAAAAACCCGCACGCCGGAAGACCAAGGGUUCCUGUCCAACGUUAAUCGGGGCAGGGUGAGUCGACCCCUAAGGCGAGGCUGAAAAGCGUAGUCGAUGGGAAACAGGUUAAUAUUCCUGUACUCGGUGUUACUGCGAAGGGGGGACGGAGAAAGCUAGGUUAUCCGGGCGACGGUUGUCCCGGUUUAAGCGUGAAGGUGGAUGACUUUGGUAAAUCCGGGUCGUCAUUAACACUGAGGCGUGAUGACGAGUCACUACGGUGAUGAAGUAACUAAUGCUACGCUUCCAGGAAAAGCCUCUAAGCUCCAGGUAACAUCAAAUCGUACCCCAAACCGACACAGGUGGUCAGGUAGAGAAUACUCAGGCGCUUGAGAGAACUCGGGUGAAGGAACUAGGCAAAAUGGUGCCGUAACUUCGGGAGAAGGCACGCUGAUGGUAAGUGAAGUGACUUGCUCACGGAGCUGAAAUCAGUCGAAGAUACCAGCUGGCUGCAACUGUUUAAUAAAAACACAGCACUGUGCAAACACGAAAGUGGACGUAUACGGUGUGACGCCUGCCCGGUGCCGGAAGGUUAAUUGAUGGGGUCAGCCGCAAGGCGAAGCUCUUGAUCGAAGCCCCGGUAAACGGCGGCCGUAACUAUAACGGUCCUAAGGUAGCGAAAUUCCUUGUCGGGUAAGUUCCGACCUGCACGAAUGGCGUAAUGAUGGCCAGGCUGUCUCCACCCGAGACUCAGUGAAAUUGAACUCGCUGUGAAGAUGCAGUGUACCCGCGGCAAGACGGAAAGACCCCGUGAACCUUUACUAUAGCUUGACACUGAACCUUGAGCCUUGAUGUGUAGGAUAGGUGGGAGGCUUUGAAGCGUGGACGCCAGUCUGCGUGGAGCCAACCUUGAAAUACCACCCUUUAAUGUUUGAUGUUCUAACGUGGACCCGUAAUCCGGGUUGCGGACAGUGUCUGGUGGGUAGUUUGACUGGGGCGGUCUCCUCCCAAAGCGUAACGGAGGAGCACGAAGGUUAGCUAAUCCUGGUCGGACAUCAGGAGGUUAGUGCAAAGGCAUAAGCUAGCUUGACUGCGAGAGUGACAGCUCGAGCAGGUGCGAAAGCAGGUCUUAGUGAUCCGGUGGUUCUGAAUGGAAGGGCCAUCGCUCAACGGAUAAAAGGUACUCCGGGGAUAACAGGCUGAUACCGCCCAAGAGUUCAUAUCGACGGCGGUGUUUGGCACCUCGAUGUCGGCUCAUCACAUCCUGGGGCUGAAGUAGGUCCCAAGGGUAUGGCUGUUCGCCAUUUAAAGUGGUACGCGAGCUGGGUUUAGAACGUCGUGAGACAGUUCGGUCCCUAUCUGCCGUGGGCGUUGGAAGAUUGAGAGGGGUUGCUCCUAGUACGAGAGGACCGGAGUGAACGCACCACUGGUGUACGGGUUGUGAUGCCAAUUGCAUUGCCCGGUAGCUAAGUGCGGAAGAGAUAACCGCUGAAAGCAUCUAAGCGGGAAACUUGCCUCGAGAUGAGUCUUCCCUGGGCACUAGAUGCCCCUGAAGGGCCGUUGAAGACGACGACGUAGAUAGGCUGGGUGUGUAAGCGUAGCGAUACGUUGAGCUAACCAGUACUAAUGACCCGAGAGGCUUAACCUUACAACACCGAAGGUGUUU